This 253-nucleotide ribosomal RNA is filed under the name uncultured bacterium. Its description in RNAcentral is "partial 16S ribosomal RNA". It matches the Rfam family "Bacterial small subunit ribosomal RNA", at positions 524 to 776 of the family's 1533-position model. The record is from RNAcentral.
UACAGAGGUCCCAAGCGUUGUUCGGAUUCAUUGGGCGUAAAGGGUGCGUAGGCGGCGCGGUAAGUCGGGUGUGAAAUCUCGGAGCUUAACUCCGAAACUGCAUUCGAUACUGCCGUGCUUGAGGACUGGAGAGGAGACUGGAAUUUACGGUGUAGCGGUGAAAUGCGUAGAUAUCGUAAGGAAGGCCAGUGGCGAAGGCGGGUCUCUGGACAGUUCCUGACGCUGAGGCACGAAGGUCAGGGGAGCAAACGGG